RNAcentral lists this transfer RNA (75 nucleotides) under Thermoplasmatales archaeon SW_10_69_26. RNAcentral describes it as "tRNA-Arg". It matches the Rfam family "tRNA". Rfam says of the family: Transfer RNA (tRNA) molecules are approximately 80 nucleotides in length. Their secondary structure includes four short double-helical elements and three loops (D, anti-codon, and T loops). Lineage: Archaea; Methanobacteriati; Thermoplasmatota; Thermoplasmata; Thermoplasmatales. The record is from RNAcentral.
GCGCCCGUGGCCAAGUCCGGAUAUGGCACCGGCCUCCUAAGCCGGUGAGCGCGGGUUCAAAUCCCGCCGGGCGCG